AGAGUUUGAUCCUGGCUCAGGAUGAACGCUGGCGGCGUGCCUAAUACAUGCAAGUCGAGCGGUAAGGCCACUUCGGUGGUACACGAGCGGCGGACGGCUGAGUAACACGUAGGAACGUACCCCAAAGUGAGGGAUAAGCACCGGAAACGGUGUCUAAUACCGCAUGUGGUCUUCGGACUAAAGCUUCGGCGCUUUGGGAACGGCCUGCGCAUGAUUAGCUUGUUGGUGAGGUAAUGGCUCACCAAGGCGACGAUCAUUAGCUGGUCUGAGAGGAUGAUCAGCCAGACUGGGACUGAGACACGGCCCAGACUCCUACGGGAGGCAGCAGUAGGGAAUCUUCCACAAUGGGCGAAAGCCUGAUGGAGCAACGCCGCGUGCAGGAUGAAUGCCUUCGGGUUGUAAACUGCUUUUAUCUGUGACGAUUAUGACGGUAGCAGAUGAAUAAGGAUCGGCUAACUCCGUGCCAGCAGCCGCGGUAAUAC
Molecule: ribosomal RNA, 482 nt
Filed under: uncultured bacterium
Lineage: Bacteria
Description: bacterial SSU rRNA
Rfam family: Bacterial small subunit ribosomal RNA
Source: RNAcentral